UGAAACUCUAAUUUAACUGGCAGGUCGUGCAGUUUUAUUUGUUAAAUCUGGAAACCCUACUUGCUGCUCUUUGGAUUGAGCCUGUUGGACUUCAGGAAUAUCCAGUGGUGACUGUUAGGCCUCAAUCCAAAGGAAUCUUGGAGAAAAGUUACUUGGCCUCUCUACCAGAGAGCAAUUAAGAGCAAUUUGUAUUCUCUGAAUAAAAGACAAUUUAGAACCUAAGACUUCAUUUUUUGAGGAAAAGCUAUAGUCCAAAGCCAUUGUCCUGUUUCCCUAAGAUGGGUGAGGCCAUCAUUUAGAGGGAUUUCUCUGUCGGCCCUGGGACUAAUUUUAUCAUGUGAAAAAUGAACAAACCAAGCAAAUCACAACACGUCUCUUUUUUCUUUUAAAUCUUCUUGGGUCUGGGUUACAGUUGAACUUUUUAUAGAAUCUGCCUUCCGUUUGCUCUGGGGUCAGAGAUCCGUUCUACGGGUAGCUGCACUAUUAGAACAUUCACCUGUGUGAAUGCUUUUGCAUCCUGAAGUACCUUAGUUACACCUGAGCCCGGUUAAUAUAAAGCUUAGCACGCAAAGGCUUCUGCCUCAUCAUUUGCUUUCCUUCCUCCUGGCUGUUGGGGCUUCUGGAGACCGUCUGGCUUGUUUGGAGAUUUAGCUAAGGGGAUCGGUGGUUUCUCCUCAUUGUGACAAGGAUACACUUGUCACAUCAUGGAAAAGGAGGUAUCGUGAAGAAGCAGGCAAAGACUUGGGAUAAUGUCAUCUACUUUCUUUUUUUGCCUUGUGUUGUUGAAGACUACUAACUUGAGGUAUUUGUUGUUGCAGAAUCGUGAAUAUGACUGGGAAGUGACAGUCGCCCAUCUUUCGCACCUAGAGAACUGUCCUCGGGAUCUACAGAGAGGUUGGUUGUCCGACUUACUAACGUGGAGAGAAUACCUUGGCUUUGCGUGGGAGACACAGCUACUGGGCGAAGCUCUACGGAGAUCCACAUUGUGUGGCGGCAAAAGCUGAUUUAAAGAUAAAAUUGAGUACUGCAGAGAUACUGUGAUUCGCCCAAGGAGCCAUACCUGGUAAGUAGAGAAAGAAGAAACA
Molecule: long non-coding RNA, 1085 nt
Filed under: Felis catus (domestic cat)
Lineage: Eukaryota; Metazoa; Chordata; Mammalia; Carnivora; Felidae
Description: lncRNA (ENSFCAG00000043565.2)
Source: RNAcentral